RNAcentral lists this transfer RNA (72 nucleotides) under Anguilla anguilla (European eel). Its description in RNAcentral is "tRNA-OTHER". Lineage: Eukaryota; Metazoa; Chordata; Actinopteri; Anguilliformes; Anguillidae. The record is from RNAcentral.
UCGCCACUGGUGUUGUGGUGCCACCAUGGCUUUGCAACCUAAAGGUCACGGGUUCGAUUCCCGGGUGGGACA